This is a long non-coding RNA of Rosa rugosa (rugosa rose), 834 nucleotides long. RefSeq lists it as uncharacterized. Lineage: Eukaryota; Viridiplantae; Streptophyta; Magnoliopsida; Rosales; Rosaceae. The transcript is spliced from 3 exons. The record is from RefSeq and is a predicted model, not a curated record.
UCUCUCUCUUCUCUCUCCCCGAUUCCCUCUCCGUCUCCGACCUCUACACCUUCUUCCGGCCAUAACUCCUCCAUUCGGCGACGGAUUUUGACGCAUAAGGUGUCGUUGGAAAGCUCUCUUCCUUCUCUUCAUUUCUGGGUUUGUUUGGUAGCUUAAUUUGAACUGUGGAAGGUGCGGAAUCGAGAAGAAGAGGACGGUCACUGUAGCAGAUUGAGGUCAAUGCCGGUUUCUCCCGAUUCCGGCCACCACAGACGACAAACCUUAGGCCUUUAGAAGCGCCUUGAGACGUAUAUGAUGCUCCCCAAGUAUUUUGCAGCGAUUUGAAGCGUGGAGGAAGAAUCGACGGUUUGAAGUUUGGGGUCACUAUUCACAAAUCGGGUUCAAACUUCUCCUUAAUUGUUGAGGGCGAUGUAUCGAGCUACUGCUCGACGAAGGAACUCGUUUACGUGAUCGUCGGAAUAGUACUUUUGCAGGCGAAAUUAGUUGAGGUCGGGCGUACAUGGAAUUGAGGCAUAGUCAACAGCAUGGCUUCCGCGUUUGCCUUUGAAUUAGGUUUUCCUUGUUUACCUUUCUAUUAGAAUUGCUCUGAUUACCUGUGGGAUUAAUGUUAUUCAAGUUGCGUUUUGUGUUAUGUGAAUUGGACGAUGUUGUGAUUUGGGGAGCAGGGUGGCUCCAGGAGAAUAAGGAUGAGUGAUUUAGAAGUGUAAAUUUCCUUUCUACAGGUUUUGGGUAGUCCAUUUUAGGGGAAGUUCUGCCAAAUUUUUGGAAGAAUUUCUUCUAAGGUGGACCCCGCAGGGCCACUUCGGAUUUCAGGGUGAAAUCCGGGGGUUGGUC